Molecule: ribosomal RNA, 599 nt
Filed under: uncultured Comamonas sp.
Lineage: Bacteria; Pseudomonadati; Pseudomonadota; Betaproteobacteria; Burkholderiales; Comamonadaceae
Description: partial 16S ribosomal RNA
Rfam family: Bacterial small subunit ribosomal RNA
Source: RNAcentral
GGAAAGGAUGAUGUCGGGGAAUUUUCGGACAAUGGNCGAAAGCCUGAUCCAGCAAAUGCCGCGUGCAGGAUGAAAGGCCCUCGGGUUGUNAACUGCUUUUGUACGGAACGAAAAGCCUGGGGCUAAUAUCCCCGGGUCAUGACGGUACCGUAAAGAAUAAGCACCGGCUAACUACNUGCCAGCAGCCGCGGUAAUACGUAGGGUGCAAGCGUUAAUCGGAAUUACUGGGCGUAAAGCGUGCGCAGGCGGUUUUGUAAGACAGUGGUGAAAUCCCCGGGCUCAACCUGGGAACUGCCNUUGUGACUGCAAGGCUAGAGUGCGGCANAGGGGGNUGGAAUUCCGCGUGUAACAGUGAAAUGCGUANAUAUGCGGAGGAACACCGAUGGCGAAGGCNAUCCCCUGGGCCUGCACUGACGCUCAUGCACGAAAGCGUGGGGAGCAAACNGGAUUAUAUACCCUGGUANUCCACGCCCUAAACAAAUGUCAACUGGUUGUUGGGUCUUAAACUGACUCCAGUUACCGAANGCUAACNCCGUGNAANUUUGACCGCCUGGNGGAAUUNCGGCCCCCAANGUANAAACUCAAAUGAAUUGACGGGG